UACGUAGGGUGCGAGCGUUGUCCGGAAUUAUUGGGCGUAAAGAGCUCGUAGGCGGUGUGUCGCGUCGGCCGUGAAAACCUGCAGCUUAACUGUGGGCUUGCGGUCGAUACGGGCAUCACUGGAGUUCGGCAGGGGAGACUGGAAUUCCUGGUGUAGCGGUGAAAUGCGCAGAUAUCAGGAGGAACACCGGUGGCGAAGGCGGGUCUCUGGGCCGAAACUGACGCUGAGGAGCGAAAGCGUGGGUAGCAAACAGG
RNAcentral lists this ribosomal RNA (254 nucleotides) under uncultured bacterium. Its description in RNAcentral is "partial 16S ribosomal RNA". It matches the Rfam family "Bacterial small subunit ribosomal RNA", at positions 524 to 776 of the family's 1533-position model. The record is from RNAcentral.